GUGAAUCAUCGAAUUUUUGAACGCAAAUUGCACUCCCUGGUAUUCCGGGGAGUAUGCCUGUUUGAGGGUCGGUAGAAUCAAAAAUCGAGGCGUCGCUCUUUUUUUUAAGGGUGAUCGCGUCGGAGUUGCGCCGUCUUUCAAAUGUUAAUGCAUGUCAAAGUGGCAUGAAAUUCAUCCAUCCGGUUCGAUUAAAGCGUAUUUAAGAUCAAUUUUGAUUAAGCAAGCGCG
RNAcentral lists this unclassified non-coding RNA (228 nucleotides) under Funneliformis mosseae. Its description in RNAcentral is "partial contains 5.8S ribosomal RNA and internal transcribed spacer 2". The stretch from base 1 to 71 matches the Rfam family "5.8S ribosomal RNA", at positions 84 to 154 of the family's 154-position model. The record is from RNAcentral. Lineage: Eukaryota; Fungi; Glomeromycota; Glomeromycetes; Glomerales; Glomeraceae.